RNAcentral lists this long non-coding RNA (1981 nucleotides) under Homo sapiens (human). Its description in RNAcentral is "HSALNT0351704". The record is from RNAcentral. Lineage: Eukaryota; Metazoa; Chordata; Mammalia; Primates; Hominidae.
UGACAUAAACAAUCAUGUACACUAUGAACAAGAACUGUCCUCUCCAGGGUGGGGUGGGCACCAGGUUAAGAGUUAGGCAUCUCCUUGAGAUGUCCUUAUUUGCUUAGGUCCUGCAUGAAAGCACAUAGUGCCCUAGCUCUUUUGAAAAGCAGGAAAAUCCUGAAAGAAAGCAACACAGAGCUUUCUCCAUUGUGAGGUAGUGAGGAGGGGAUUAGGACACUAGGUGAGAAAGGACAGGCCUAGACAAUGAAGCAAGGGGCGAGUGGGUGGAUGGGUAAAACCACCUGCUCCUCAAAACAGCCAGGCUCUGAGAUGAAGCAGGAAUCUGCACUUAAACCGAGGCUGGAUCCAUCCUAGGGAUUCAAGUGAGUCUGGCAUUUUGACAGGAAUCCCAGUGGAAGUCUUUUUGUGGAGUGAAGGGCGGGGGCCUGUGUUGUCAAGCGAAAACAGAAAAGAGAAGGGAAUUCCACCUUUGCCCACUGAGAACACAUCUAUGCUGAGAACACAUCUACCCAACUCCUCUGUCACAACCCCUGUGAGAAGGUUCUGCCAUCUCCCAGCCCUGAAGAUUGUGAGGUCAUCUGACCACUUAUUACAUUGCUAAACAUGGCAGGAUGUCACCUGACUCGACACUAAGCUGCCCAUCAAUCAUCACAUCCCCUUUCUCCCACUUACUUUUCUAUCACCCCGUAGAUUCCCAACAGCUGUCCUUAAGUCCUCCAGGCUACAGAAACCACUCUUGAAACAAUAUGUCAGCAUACCAUUAGUGCCCUUUAACUCAUACCCUCACUUCCCAGCCCCUCCUCUGUGAACGAAGUCUCUCCUUACCUCUUCCUCCAGCACUAAUCAAUCUAAUGUUCCUUCACUCUUUUCUCCCCUCCCAGCUUCCCUCCAACCUGCACCCAAUCCCCCCAAAUCCUUUCUCCUCUUUCUUUGCAAUUCUCCACACCAAGACUGAACACUUGUCAGAAAUGGUGCUCCCCCUGGGCCCCUCCACACCUCCUGAAGCCCAAUCCCUGUCACUUCUUACCACCCCCAGCUCCCUGAUGGCCCUGGGCCUCCCUCCCGACAGCUGAGGCCCUUCCUGGAUCUCUACACGUCACCAAGCUAAGCCAGUGUUCCAAAAUAGUCUCCUGAACAAUGAUGACAACUGCACAGUUAUUUUGGAAGAACUUCCUGGCAGUGAUGGCAGUGGAACAUUGGAAACAGAGAUGAACAGGAGGUGGGAAGAGGAGGCUAAGUACAUGUAGGCCUAAAAGUCUCUGCCUUGGGAGAUUUUUAACAGUCCUGGAUGGAGGAGAAACAAGAUCUUAUAUUGGACACUGAUUCAUAGCAUAUACAGCCUUCUGAGGAACUUCACUCCACCCCUGCAAGAAAUUGCCACCUAGCUGAUGUCAUAACUGAGACUUCAAAAUGCUAUUCCACUGUUUUAUCAAGCCAAUUGCUUCAGGAUGAUGGGGAAGAUAAUCAGACCAGCAAAUUCCACGAGCAUGGGUCCGUUGCUCUGUUUCUUUUGCUGUAAAGUGAGUUCCUUGAUCAGAAACAAUGCAAUGUGGAAUACUACAAUGAUGAAUAAAGCAUUCUAUAAGCCCAUGGAUGGUAGUUUUGGCAGAAGCAUUGUGUGCAGGGAAGACAAAACAAUAUCCAGAGUAAGUGUCUAUUACAUUAAGAACAAACAGUGUCCCUUCUAUGAUGAAAAUGUCCCCACAUAAUCAACCUACCACCAGGUGGCUGUGUGAUCACCCUAGGGACUUGAUGUUGGUCUCUGCUCAAUGUUGGCCAUAUCAGGGACUCAAUGUUGCUCUCUGCUGUUGGCAGAUUGGACUUUCAGCAGUAACUGUAAGCCAGAUUGGCCUUGUUGAGUGGAAGUCCACGUUACUUCCCCAAGCAUAACCGCUAUCACUGCCAUCAUGGUCACUUUGUUCAUGAGACCAUUAGGCAAUGACAGAGGUAGCUGGGAAAAAAGGGUGACCAGUAUCCA